AUGAACGCUGGCGGCGUGCCUAAUACAUGCAAGUCGAGCGAACAGACGAGGAGCUUGCUCCUCUGACGUUAGCGGCGGACGGGUGAGUAACACGUGGAUAACCUACCUAUAAGACUGGGAUAACUUCGGGAAACCGGAGCUAAUACCGGAUAAUAUAUUGAACCGCCUGGUUCAAUAGUGAAAGACGGUUUUGCUGUCACUUAUAGAUGGAUCCGCGCCGCAUUAGCUAGUUGGUAAGGUAACGGCUUACCAAGGCAACGAUGCGUAGCCGACCUGAGAGGGUGAUCGGCCACACUGGAACUGAGACACGGUCCAGACUCCUACGGGAGGCAGCAGUAGGGAAUCUUCCGCAAAGGGCGAAAGCCUGACGGAGCAACGCCGCGUGAGUGAUGAAGGUCUUCGGAUCGUAAAACUCUGUUAUUAGGGAAGAACAAAUGUGUAAGUAACUAUGCACGUCUUGACGGUACCUAAUCAGAAAGCCACGGCUAACUACGUG
RNAcentral lists this ribosomal RNA (496 nucleotides) under uncultured bacterium. Its description in RNAcentral is "partial 16S ribosomal RNA". It matches the Rfam family "Bacterial small subunit ribosomal RNA", at positions 29 to 507 of the family's 1533-position model. The record is from RNAcentral.